This 421-nucleotide ribosomal RNA is filed under the name uncultured bacterium. RNAcentral's name for it is "partial 16S ribosomal RNA". It matches the Rfam family "Bacterial small subunit ribosomal RNA", at positions 360 to 773 of the family's 1533-position model. The record is from RNAcentral.
AAUAUUGGACAAUGGGGGCAACCCUGAUCCAGCCAUGCCGCCGGGGUGAAGAAGGUCUUCGGAUUGUAAAGCACUCUAUGUUGGGAGGAAGGGCGUUAGGUUAAUACACUGAAGUUGUGACGUUACGAACAGAAUAGGCACCGGCUAACUCUGUUCGAGCAGCCGCGGUAAUACAGAGGGUGCAAGCGUUAAUCGGAAUUACUGGGCGUAAAGGGCGCGUAGGUGGUUCAGUAAGAUGGGUGUGAAAUCCCCGGGCUUAACCUGGGAACUGCUUUCAUAACUGCUGAGCUAGAGUACGGUAGAGGGUAGUGGAAUUUCCUGUGUAGCGGUGAAAUGCGUAGAUAUAGGAAGGAACACCAGUGGCGAAGGCGACUACCUGGACUGAUACUGACACUGAGGUGCGAAAGCGUGGGGAGCAAAC